CAGUCGCCGCGGGAAUACGUAGGGUGCAAGCGUUAAUCGGAAUUACUGGGCGUAAAGCGUGCGCAGGCGGUUUGUUAAGACAGAUGUGAAAUCCCCGGGCUCAACCUGGGAACUGCAUUUGUGACUGGCAAGCUAGAGUAUGGCAGAGGGGGGUGGAAUUCCGCGUGUAGCAGUGAAAUGCGUAGAUAUGCGGAGGAACACCGAUGGCGAAGGCAGCCCCCUGGGCCAAUACUGACGCUCAUGCACGAAAGCGUGGGGAGCAAACAGGAUUAGAUACCCCGGUAGUCCCUGUCUCUUAUAA
Molecule: ribosomal RNA, 301 nt
Filed under: uncultured bacterium
Lineage: Bacteria
Description: partial 16S ribosomal RNA
Rfam family: Bacterial small subunit ribosomal RNA
Source: RNAcentral